RNAcentral lists this unclassified non-coding RNA (1086 nucleotides) under Leishmania infantum. RNAcentral describes it as "U3_snoRNA-associated_protein_UTP11_-_putative". The record is from RNAcentral. Lineage: Eukaryota; Euglenozoa; Kinetoplastea; Trypanosomatida; Trypanosomatidae.
AUGACGAAGGGGAAAGGCCGCAACCCAGGCGCCAGCGGGCUCGACAAGCACCUCAAGCGCAAGACCCACCUAGAACGGUCGCAGCCGAAGUCGCGCCAGCAUCUCGGCCAGCUCGAGAAGCACAAGGAUCAUGUUCUCCGUGCAAAGAAGCGCAAGGUCAAGGUGCGCCGCCUGCAGGAAAUCAAGCGCGCCGCAGCGCAGCGCAACCCAGAUGAGUUCAACAUUGGCAUGACGAAGUCGGUGAUGGAUGUGGCGAAUGGCCGCAUGAGGAAGCGCCGGGUUCGACUGGUGGACUCUGACCGGAAGAAGGACAUGCAAAAGACGAUUGAGCACAACCGGCGCAACGUGCAGUAUCUCGAGUUCAAGGCCAAGGCCGACCAGCAGCGGGCGACCGAGCUGCUGAACGAGGAGGCGGCAGCAGCGCUGACUUCGACUGCCCCGCAGAACAAGCACAUCGUCUUUGUAAACUCCGAGGAGGAGUUCCGCAGCUUCAACCCGCUCAAGCACUUCGACGCGACGCCGGAGAUGAUGCGGCAGCACCCGGCGGUGCGCGGUCGCAUCCGCGUCCUGGAGAAGACGGUGAUGCCGGAGGAGAUUCUCAUGAGUGGCGGGCACCAGAUGAAAUCCGCUGCGCAGAAACGCAAGGAGCGGCGCGAGGUGCAGGAGAAGAUGCGCCGCAGCGGUGCCGACGCCACCCCCGAGACACGAGCCGCUUUUGUGGAGCGCCUGCGCGCCAAGAAAGAGCUGAAGCAGUACCAGUUUACCGAUCUACUGGAAGAGGUGAAGCGCGAGAACGAGGCGACCGCCUCCUCAUCCAAGGGCACCCCAGGCGAUGACGACGAGCAUGAGGAGGCGGCAGCGCAGGACGAGGUCACGCGGCUGCUUGAGUGGCGCCGUGAACAGGAGCGUCAGGCGGCGAUAGCGACGGCGCGGCACGUGCGCGAGGUCGGGCAGCGCAUACAGCGAAGCAAGAGUCUCUCUGCCUUGGCAAAGAGGAUCCGCAAGCAGUCGCAAGGCAUCAAGCGGCAAAUGGAGCAGAGGCGGGAGAGCCGCUUCAAGCCCGGCACGACGCGGCGCGCACGGUAA